UACGGAAGGCAGCAGGGGGAAUAUUGCACAAUGGGCGAAAGCCUGAUGCAGCUAUGCCGCGUGUAUGAAGAAGGCCUUAGGGUUGUAAAGUACUUUCAUCGGGGAGGAAAAAACAAAACUAAUAAUUUUAUUUCUUGACGUUACCCGAAAAAGAAGCACCGGCUAACUCCGUGCCAGCAGCCGCGGUAAUACGGAGGGUGCUAGCGUUAAUCAGAAUUACUGGGCGUAAAGAGCACGUAGGCGGUUUUUUUAAGUCAGAUGUGAAAUCCCUGGGCUUAACCUGGAACUGCAUUUUGAAACUGAAAUACUAGAGUAUCGUAGAGGGAGGUAGAAUUCUAGGUGUAGCGGUGAAAUGCGUAGAUAUCUGGAGGAUACCUGUGGCGAAAGCGGCCUCCUAAACGAAUACUGACACUGAGGGUGCGAAAGCGUGGGGAGCAAACGAGGAUUAGAUACC
RNAcentral lists this ribosomal RNA (454 nucleotides) under uncultured bacterium. Its description in RNAcentral is "bacterial SSU rRNA". It matches the Rfam family "Bacterial small subunit ribosomal RNA", at positions 340 to 786 of the family's 1533-position model. The record is from RNAcentral.